GACGAACGCUGGCGGCGUGCUUAACACAUGCAAGUCGAACGGAAAGGCCCUUCGGGGUCCUCGAGUGGCGAACGGGUGAGUAACACGUGGGUGAUCUGCCCUGCACUUUGGGAUAAGCCUGGGAAACUGGGUCUAAUACCGAAUAGGACCACGCGCUUCAUGGUGUGUGGUGGAAAGCUUUUGCGGUGUGGGAUGGGCCCGCGGCCUAUCAGCUUGUCGGUGGGGUAAUGGCCUACCAAGGCGACGACGGGUAGCCGGCCUGAGAGGGUGACCGGCCACACUGGGACUGAGAUACGGCCCAGACUCCUACGGGAGGCAGCAGUGGGGAAUAUUGCACAAUGGGCGCAAGCCUGAUGCAGCGACGCCGCGUGAGGGAUGACGGCCUUCGGGUUGUAAACCUCUUUCAAUAGGGACGAAGCGCAAGUGACGGUACCUAUAGAAGAAGCACCGGCCAACUACGUG
RNAcentral lists this ribosomal RNA (462 nucleotides) under uncultured bacterium. RNAcentral describes it as "partial 16S ribosomal RNA". It matches the Rfam family "Bacterial small subunit ribosomal RNA", at positions 28 to 507 of the family's 1533-position model. The record is from RNAcentral.